UCUCUGGGCCGUACUGACGCUGAGAGCGAAAGCAUGGGGAGCGAACAGGAUUAGAUACCUGGUAGUCCAUGCCGUAAACGUUGGGAACUAGAUGUAGGGCCUUUCCAGGGUUCUGUGUCGUAGCUAACGCAUUAAGUUCCCCGCUGGGGAGUACGGCCGCAAGGCUAAAACUCAAAGGAAUUGACGGGGGCCCGCACAAGCGGCGGAGCAUGCGGAUUAAUUCGAUGCAACGCGAAGAACCUUACCAAGGCUUGACAUAUCGAGAACGCUGUAGAGAUACAGAACUCUUUGGACACUCGUUUACAGGUGGUGCAUGGUUGUCGUCAGCUCGUGUCGUGAGAUGUUCGGUUAAGUCCGGCAACGAGCGCAACCCUCGUCCUAUGUUGCCAGCACGUUAUGGUGGGAACUCAUGGGAUACUGCCGUGGUCAACACGGAGGAAGGUGGGGAUGACGUCAAAUCAUCAUGCCCCUUAUGUCUUGGGCUUCACGCAUGCUACAAUGGCCGAUACAAAGGGCUGCGAUACCGCGAGGUGGAGCGAAUCCCAAAAAGUCGGUCUCAGUUCGGAUUGGGGUCUGCAACUCGACCCCAUGAAGUCGGAGUCGCUAGUAAUCGCAGAUCAGCACGCUGCGGUGAAUACGUUCCCGGGCCUUGUACACACCGCCCGUCAAGUCAUGAAAGUCGGUAACACCCGAAGCCGGUGGCCUAACCUUUUGGAGGGAGCCGUCGAAGGUGGGACUGGUGAUUAGGACUAAGUCGUAACAAGGUAACCA
This 771-nucleotide ribosomal RNA is filed under the name uncultured Leucobacter sp. RNAcentral describes it as "bacterial SSU rRNA". It matches the Rfam family "Bacterial small subunit ribosomal RNA", at positions 726 to 1502 of the family's 1533-position model. Lineage: Bacteria; Bacillati; Actinomycetota; Actinomycetes; Micrococcales; Microbacteriaceae. The record is from RNAcentral.